UUAUCAACGAGAUCCGGAGAAUUAUUUUUGAAUUCGGAACGAGACAAAUCAAAAAAGGAAAAUGAAAACAAACAUUGCCAUUUUUAUUUGUUUUUUUAAACUGCAAAAAUAAAUGAAAAACAGGGAACACCGCUUUUUGACUGAAAAACAUCCAUUUAUUAAUGAUGCAGAAAUGCAAAUUUAAACAUGAGGUGGCCUUCACAAUGAACCAUUACGUGUCGGGCAACACAUAUGGCUUUC
This 240-nucleotide long non-coding RNA is filed under the name Lathyrus oleraceus (garden pea). RNAcentral describes it as "Pisum sativum (pea) long non-coding RNA (PSAT_LNC027433)". The record is from RNAcentral. Lineage: Eukaryota; Viridiplantae; Streptophyta; Magnoliopsida; Fabales; Fabaceae.